RNAcentral lists this unclassified non-coding RNA (934 nucleotides) under Hevea brasiliensis (rubber tree). Lineage: Eukaryota; Viridiplantae; Streptophyta; Magnoliopsida; Malpighiales; Euphorbiaceae. The record is from RNAcentral.
AAAGAAGAAGCAAAAAUAAAUUAUAAUAACAAAUUAAAAUCUCAAUUAACAGAACAAACACGAGAGAUAAUUAAUACCAAAGAAACAAAGAAAGAAAGAAGGAAAGAAGAGCAAAGGCACAGGAAAUCGUCUGGAACUUUCUUCCAGACCCAAAAGGAAUCUCCAAAGAGCUCACAACCGCCCUUUCCCCUCUUGUCGGUUUACGCUUAUUUCUUCAUUUUUCAUCCUUUAUAAUUAUUUUGGAGAUUCCUUUGUUUUCCUUCAAACCCAACCCUUUGAUUCCUCUCCUUUCUUCCUUUCUUUCCCCUUUUCUCACAGUACCCUAAUUCUUUUUCCCAUUUCCUUCGUUUUCAUCUUCUAUUUUACCCAGUUUCUGCUGAUUCAAUCAUCGCAAACAGAUCGAUUAUAGGUGUUAUUGUUUAAUUGAGAUCCGAAAAGGAUGGCGGAAGAACAUAGAUGCCAAGCGCCGAAACUUUGCGUUAAUAACUGUGGAUUCUUCGGGAGUCCGGCGACUCAAGAUCUCUGUUCAAAAUGUUACCGAGAUCUGCAGUUAAAGGAACAACAAUCCUCCUCCGCUAAACUCGCCUUAAACCAAACCCUAACAUCCGCCGCCUCAUCGUCCUUUGCGGAUGCGGCGUUGUUAAAUCCGAAACCGGCUUCAUCGGAAGCGAACCAACCUCUGGCGGAGACGAGGACGGAAGUGGUUCCGACGCCGGCGGCAACACAGCAGCAGCCGAGCCGAUGUACGACGUGCAGGCGGCGCGUGGGGUUGACGGGGUUCCAGUGCAGGUGCGGGAUGGUGUACUGUGGGACUCACCGGUACCCGGAGCAACACGGUUGCGAAUUUGACUUCAAGCGGAUGGGGAAGGAGCAGAUCGCGAAGGCGAAUCCGGUGGUGAAAGGGGAGAAACUGCAGAAGAUCUGAGAAGAGGAG